This 525-nucleotide ribosomal RNA is filed under the name uncultured bacterium. RNAcentral describes it as "bacterial SSU rRNA". It matches the Rfam family "Bacterial small subunit ribosomal RNA", at positions 9 to 534 of the family's 1533-position model. The record is from RNAcentral.
GAGUUUGAUCCUGGCUCAGGAUGAACGCUGGCGGCGUGCUUAACACAUGCAAGUCGAACGAAGCACUUGAGAUUGAAUCUUCGGAUGAGAACUCUUGUGACUGAGUGGCGGACGGGUGAGUAACGCGUGGGUAACCUACCUCAUACAGGGGGAUAACAGUUGGAAACGACCGCUAAUACCGCAUAACCCGCUAGUAUCGCAUGAUACGGACGGAAAAGAUUUAUCGGUAUGAGAUGGACCCGCGUCUGACUAGCCAGUUGGCAGGGUAACGGCCUACCAAAGCAACGAUCAGUAGCCGGCCUGAGAGGGUGAACGGCCACAUUGGGACUGAGACACGGCCCAAACUCCUACGGGAGGCAGCAGUGGGGAAUAUUGCACAAUGGGGGAAACCCUGAUGCAGCGACGCCGCGUGAGUGAGGAAGUAUUUCGGUAUGUAAAGCUCUAUCAGCAGGGAAGAAAAUGACGGUACCUGACUAAGAAGCCCCGGCUAACUACGUGCCAGCAGCCGCGGUAAUACGUAGGGGG